UUCUUUUUUCUUUGUGUUGCUUUGAACUGAAAAACAGAGGUCUCGGGGUCGUGAGAAGACAGAGAUAACCCUAAUCUCCAAAUCCUUCGUGUCCGGCGACGCCACCAGAUUCCCACCAAAAUCGGAACCCCGUCGUGAUGGGCGACGCCGCCGACGCCCCCCGCCGGCAACGGCUGGCCUCAAUUCUCCUUGCCCGGAAACCGCGCCUCACCGACAGCAGGAACGAGACCACGGCCACAGCCGUAUCCAUGGAUGGCUUCACCAUGGCGGUCUCCUUCUGGAUGGCCGACCCGCCGCAGCUGUCCAUCUUCUCCAUCUACUGCUGCAGACCCCCUCAUCUGCAAGCCGGGCCGUACUGCAAUUUCAAAGAUUUGCCACGCGUGGUCGGCGUCGGCGCGGAGGGCCGUUUCGUCCUCUUCCGCGCCGUCUUCGACCGCCGCUACACAUCCGAAUAUUUCCUGUACAAGGCCGGCGAGUCGCCGUCGCUCGAGUGGAUUCCUUCUCCCUACGAGUACAAUGAUGGCGACCUCGAUGAUCUGCGCGGGGUCAGGGAGUUCGGCGUCCUGCAGCAGCUCGGCGGCCACUAUCUCGUGGCCGCUCUCUGCCUCGCCCCGUUGUCGGAUGACUAUCACCUUCGGAUCUACUCGUCCGAGAGAACGUCAUGGAGCACCAGGACCCCGCCCAAUCCAUGUCCUGGGGUCGACAGGAUUAUACCCAACAAGGUGAUCACUCUUGGAGAAGAAGGCCUACUAGGGUGGGUUGAUUUGUCACAGGGCCUGCUGAUGUGCGACCUGCGUCAAGAUCAUGUGCGUUUCACUUUCAUCCCGUUGCCGGAGCCGUUGCCUGGGAACAGAUACAAACUAAAAGGUCAAAUUCCCCCUCCCACCGCAAAGAGAAGCAAAAAACUAGAGGGCGAAUCUCACCCAAAUCUCUGCUGGUUUCGGGAUCUCGCAUGGGUUGAUGGCGUGCUCAAGUUUAUUGAGAUGGAGAAUCUUGCUCCUGAAAGCCGGAGCGACAAGGGUGAUGUUAUCUACGAUUCAGACUUGAUCAUGUCGCUCGAGCGCAAAGCCGUGGAUUGGCAUUGCAAGCAGCUGUCCAUUGGGGGUGCCUGGAGGGCUGUCACAUGGACUCGGACAGUUUCGUCCAAUGUUGGCGCCAGACAUGCGCUGCCAAUGUCGCUGACAUCUUGGUUGUCGACGGAUCAGCGCAUUCAUCUUUGUUGCCCGGGCUAAAGGGAGAAAAGUUGACAUUCAGGGACCUCUACUCAGCUUUCCCCAUCCCGAGCCCGGAUGGUGACGAUAUUCUUUAUCUCAAAUCUAUGGUGGAACCCAGUAAUAAGGAUGGAUGUGUGGCCGCUGUUGACUUGGGAAACAAGGCUGUGAAAGCAGUUGGCAAGUAUUAUCUUCCGGAUGAUUUUUAUUACCACUUUCGCCAUGACCCUGAACAUCCUUUCCGUGUCUGUACAUUGUCCCGCCAUCUGGAUAUGACUCCAGGCAUUGAAGUCUCAGCGUGUCGCAAGAUCAUAGGGGAUGCUAGCAGCUCUUCAAAUUAUCCAAGCAACACCUCAUUCCAUGCGGGUGAGCUCAAUUCCUGCGAACCAAGGAGCAAAAUCCAAAGGCAAGUUUCUUAUUCUCUAACCUUUCUUCUGCUAAUGCCUGGGCACCUAUGAUCCAAUUUAGAUCAAUUCGUUCUAUAAUUUGAUAUCUAUUCACCUAUUAGUUUUACCUGAUAUUACCAUAUUGGGGUAUUUUUUCUAGUUGACUUUCUGUUCCUCAGGUCAUUGGAAUGGGCUCAGAAAAACAAGCGUGCACGAAAUGCUGCUGGGACUAUUAUGCAGAAUGAUCAUAUUUCCCAGCUUGACGAUAAGGUGCUGGAGCUAGAGCGGGGGUGGAAACAGAAGAGAGAGCAGAAGCCACAACAGCAGUGCUUCAACAAGUGGGAUGCGCCGUGCUACCCCCCUGGACAUUCAGUGUGGCCCCAUCAAAACAAUCUGUCACCGAGGAAAUACUUCAACAAGCCAGACGGACCAUGUGUCCUUGGGUAUGCAUGUUUGCCCCCUGUACAGCUGGGUCGUCACAACUACCAACCUCUGUGGCGCAGCCACCACCAUCAAAACAGCAGUUGACUUCUAGCAGUGAGUUUGGACCUCAUGAGAUUUCAGGCACCCCAGCCAUGCUUCAACAAUUGCAGUGGAGCCAGCUACCAUGUGUAUUAACAACAAAUUUCUGCCCCUAACUCAUUUGCCUAUGGCGCACACACCUGCUAUGCCAGCUACCAACACCAGUGGCUUCAACUCUUACUUUGGAGCUGCCUAUUGGUGCGUUUUGGCAGCAUUCACCUCCUGUGGUGCAGCGUCAGCCAACACCUAGUGAGAUAAAAAAAAGCACUGAAAAAACCUGUGUUUGCUGACAUGUUCCUCUUUUAGACAGUAGACAUGGAGUGAAUCUGUCAUUAAGAUUACUUCUUCAAGAUAGUCAUUCUUGCAAGUAAUUCUGCGCUUGUUGCAUAUGCAAAACCCUUGUGUGUUUCAAACUGAGAUUUAAAGAGGGUUACAUAGUGUCAAGACUAUGUAAGGUAAUAUCCUCUCAUAGUUUGACAUUGUUUCUUGAAACAUAAAUGUAACCAUUUUGCUGAAAUGUGAGUACGUAAGGAAAGGUGCGAACUUUUCAAAAAAGAGGAGGAAUCCCAUCUAAAGGAGCAAAUGUUGGAGAAAUGUGUGGUAAGGUUGAUGGGGAGCCUGGAGUAGCAUAUUGAUGUGGUGCCCAAUUUUCUUGAUGUAAGUUGUAGCCAAAUGAAGUGUAGAUGCUGAACUAAGGAAAAUAGUCAAUGUCUGAUAUCCUCUUUCAGUUGAUUGUGCUGAAAAUGUGUAAUAAAAAUAUUGUUAAUCCUAGUAACUCAAAACUUGUGCAUUAUUUGUUACCAUAGAAAAGUUUCGGGAGUUGUGGUUUUAGAGAAGAGGUGACAUGUGACACGUAUUAUCACUUCUCUUGCGGAACAUUUUUGUUGUUGACUAACUAGUUGAUUUUGCUGUGCAGUGAUAUUGCUGGCUAGAUUUGACUGGAUCGAUGGCUAUGCUCAGGUCAGGGGCCCCUAUAGUGGUGGCGUCGUCCCGGACUCUGUGUCUGAUGCCGGGCUAGGAGUGAAAGGAGCUGCCUUUCUCUCCUACCGUGGUUGGUAAAUCAUGAUGUGAACGAUGGGUGAGAUGUUUCGGACAUGGAUGCCGGGGCGGCGGCUCCGGAUGGUGGUCCACAUGGUUGGCUUUCCGGCGGGCAUCAUGAUGGCGGCGGUGGCUUCCCUCUUUGCGCCGUUCUUCCUCUUGAGGGCAUUGUCGAGGAGCUUAGGUGUACUAGGGCGUAGUGCGUCGUUGUUCUCAUUCUUCUGUGUAGUAUCUACGUGAUACGGGUAUUCUAGAGUCUGCUUUGUAAGAGGGUUAUCUCACCAACACUCCCACACCACUAAUAGCUUCGUUCCACUAA
Non-coding RNA from Aegilops tauschii subsp. strangulata, 3476 nucleotides. The record is from RefSeq and is a predicted model, not a curated record. Lineage: Eukaryota; Viridiplantae; Streptophyta; Magnoliopsida; Poales; Poaceae.